RNAcentral lists this ribosomal RNA (73 nucleotides) under Flavobacteriaceae bacterium. Lineage: Bacteria; Pseudomonadati; Bacteroidota; Flavobacteriia; Flavobacteriales; Flavobacteriaceae. The record is from RNAcentral.
UAAGGUGAUCAUGGCGAUGAGGCCCACCCUUUUCCAUUCCGAACAAGGAAGUUAAGCUCAUCAGCGCCGAUGG